Molecule: ribosomal RNA, 253 nt
Filed under: uncultured bacterium
Lineage: Bacteria
Description: partial 16S ribosomal RNA
Rfam family: Bacterial small subunit ribosomal RNA
Source: RNAcentral
UACGUAGGGUCCGAGCGUUGUCCGGAAUUAUUGGGCGUAAAGAGCUCGUAGGCGGUUUGUCGCGUCUGCUGUGAAAUCCCGAGGCUCAACCUCGGGCCUGCAGUGGGUACGGGCAGACUGGAGUGCGGUAGGGGAGAAUGGAAUUCCUGGUGUAGCGGUGGAAUGCGCAGAUAUCAGGAGGAACACCGAUGGCGAAGGCAGUUCUCGGGGCCGUAACUGACGCUGAGGAGCGAAAGCGUGGGGAGCGAACAGG